GGUCAGCGACUUAUAUUCUGUAGCAAGGUUAACCGUAUAGGGGAGCCGUAGGGAAACCGAGUCUUAACCGGGCGUUAAGUUGCAGGGUAUAGACCCGAAACCCGGUGAUCUAGCCAUGGGCAGGUUGAAGGUUGGGUAACACUAACUGGAGGACCGAACCGACUAAUGUUGAAAAAUUAGCGGAUGACCUGUGGCUGGGGGUGAAAGGCCAAUCAAACCGGGAGAUAGCUGGUUCUCCCCGAAAGCUAUUUAGGUAGCGCCUCGUGAAUUCAUCUCCGGGGGUAGAGCACUGUUUCGGCUAGGGGGCCAUCCCGGCUUACCAACCCGAUGCAAACUGCGAAUACCGGAGAAUGUUAUCACGGGAGACACACGGCGGGUGCUAACGUCCGUCGUGAAGAGGGAAACAACCCAGACCGCCAGCUAAGGUCCCAAAGUCAUGGUUAAGUGGGAAACGAUGUGGGAAGGCCCAGACAGCCAGGAUGUUGGCUUAGAAGCAGCCAUCAUUUAAAGAAAGCGUAAUAGCUCACUGGUCGAGUCGGCCUGCGCGGAAGAUGUAACGGGGCUAAACCAU
RNAcentral lists this ribosomal RNA (571 nucleotides) under Salmonella enterica subsp. enterica serovar Heidelberg. RNAcentral's name for it is "partial 23S ribosomal RNA". It matches the Rfam family "Bacterial large subunit ribosomal RNA", at positions 618 to 1190 of the family's 2925-position model. RNAcentral also lists the same sequence under 2 other names. Lineage: Bacteria; Pseudomonadati; Pseudomonadota; Gammaproteobacteria; Enterobacterales; Enterobacteriaceae. The record is from RNAcentral.